AGUAACGCGUGGGUAACCUGCCUUGUACAGGGGGAUAACAGUUGGAAACGGCUGCUAAUACCGCAUAAGCGCACAGCAUCGCAUGAUGCAGUGUGAAAAACUCCGGUGGUAUAAGAUGGACCCGCGUUGGAUUAGCUAGUUGGUGAGGUAACGGCCCACCAAGGCGACGAUCCAUAGCCGACCUGAGAGGGUGACCGGCCACAUUGGGACUGAGACACGGCCCAG
RNAcentral lists this ribosomal RNA (225 nucleotides) under uncultured bacterium. RNAcentral's name for it is "partial 16S ribosomal RNA". It matches the Rfam family "Bacterial small subunit ribosomal RNA", at positions 109 to 334 of the family's 1533-position model. The record is from RNAcentral.